CCUACGGGAGGCAGCAGUAGGGAAUUUUCGGCAAUGGGGGGAACCCUGACCGAGCAACGCCGCGUGAACGAAGGAGUUAUUCGUAAUGUAAAGUUCUUUUAACCGGGAAGAAAGAGAAAUUUGACUGUACCUGAAGAAUAAGCUCCGGCUAACUACGUGCCAGCAGCCGCGGUAAUACGUAGGGAGCGAGCGUGAUCCGUAAUUAUUGGGCGAAAAGGGUGCUUAGAUGGCAUAGUAAGUCUUUUGAAAAAAUGCUGGGCUCAACCCAGUAGGGCAAAAGAUACUGCAAAGCUAGAGUAUGACAGAGGCAAGUGGAACUACAUGUGUAGCGGUAAAAUGCGUAAAUAUAUGUAAGAACACCAGUGGCGAAGGCGGCUUGCUGGGUCGAUACUGACAUUGAGGCACGAAAGCGUGGGGAGCAAACAGGAUUAGAUACCCUGGUAGUC
Molecule: ribosomal RNA, 446 nt
Filed under: uncultured bacterium
Lineage: Bacteria
Description: partial 16S ribosomal RNA
Rfam family: Bacterial small subunit ribosomal RNA
Source: RNAcentral